AAGUCGUAACAAGGUAUCCGUAGGUGAACCUGCGGAUGGAUCAUUAAAGUAUAGACUGAGAUGGCCUAAAGUCCCUUGGACCGUGGCUAUCAAAGUCCGGCUCAGCCGACACUUUGUGCACUGUUUUACGUCUCUGGCGGAAUGUUUCCCUGCCUAGUGGCUUAAUCGCUGCUGGUGGAGAGCACCCGCCGAUGGGCUUUUGCCUGUCGCCCGUUUUAACUCCAAUGUGUGAACCUAUCCAGUCUGAAAACUUUCACUAUAACUAAUGUGAAAACAACUUUUGACAACGGAUCUCUUGGCUCUC
This 304-nucleotide unclassified non-coding RNA is filed under the name fungal sp. RNAcentral describes it as "partial internal transcribed spacer region". The stretch from base 1 to 46 matches the Rfam family "Eukaryotic small subunit ribosomal RNA", at positions 1786 to 1831 of the family's 1831-position model. The record is from RNAcentral. Lineage: Eukaryota; Fungi.